Molecule: long non-coding RNA, 1318 nt
Organism: Epinephelus moara (kelp grouper)
Lineage: Eukaryota; Metazoa; Chordata; Actinopteri; Perciformes; Serranidae
Exons: 2
Source: RefSeq, a predicted model, not a curated record
CUUGACUAAGUUAAUGAUGAGAGGCUUCUGUGAAUAUAUGUCCUGAAGGAGGCUCUCAGUUGAUUUUCCUACAUAAUGAGCACUUCUUAUUCUUAACACUUGAAGUAUGAUAAUAGUUAUUUUAUUUCUUCAUUUUUUAUAUUUGAAUACAGGACAUUGAUCCAGGCUGGUAUGUCUAUGGGUUCGCUGCUUCGUCCUUGUAGUAAUUGGUGAAUAGGCAAAAAACAAACAAUUGAUGAUGAUUUUAAAUCAGAGAGAACUGAAUUCUGUCUGCUUCUGCCGUUGCUCCCAGCUGAGGCUUUUGCCAGCUGCUGCUUCCACAACAACUUUUUCGAUCUUUCAGUGCCAGCUACAGGUGAAUUUGUAUCAAAUGCUAUCAACUUGUUCAGCAUCCCCAUCUGUUAAACUUUACUGAUUUUGGUUACCAUGGAAUACUACAUUUAAGGUGGGGCUAUUGGUGCCAUGCUGAUAUAUGACAUGCACGUGCUCAUAGAGAACUUGUUUACCAAGUUUCUUUUAUAAAAGUCAAUAGAAUUGUGCAAAUAACUUCUGCAGUGCUCCCUGUGGGAAAAUAUGGGUUAUGGCUCAUUAACUGCAUCCGGCAAUACAUUUCAGAAGUUUGGUUCAGGGCCAUCGAAAUAUGAUAUGCAAUAAGCUAGGUGAAGAUGAGACGAAAUACAUGCCAAAAGAAGCUAAAAUUGCGUUAAACAAAAAAUUCUACAACGGCGAGACAUUUUUUAUAGGCGCAAAUGGGUGUGGCCCAUAUCAAUCACAUCAGCAUCAUCCAGAAACACACUGUGUAACUGUAAUUUUACUCACGGUUCAUGAGGUUUUAGCCAAAAUAUAAAACACCUAUUAACUCACAACAGGGAGUGAGGCAGAGGACACCCUGUGAUCCAGGGCUAGCUAACAUUAGCCACAUAAACGUGAACUUGACGCCUUUGGCUCCUGUUAUCAAAAAGCUAAACAAUUGUCUCAACAGCUGUGUGACUGUCUCUCCAUGCAUGUAUGUAUAGAUUUGACCUCAGCUAAAACCAAGGAAGUAUUUUUAUAUACAUUUGCUUUGAAGCAUGACUCCUCCAUUUCAUUUGUAUUAAGUUUUAUUUUUACAGAGAGACACCUUUACAUGCCAAAACCAGACACGUGAUUGGCUUAUUGUGUAUACACCAGAGGAAACAAAACAUCUGUUGACAUCAGACAAGACUAGAAAACAAACUGAAGUAGUCAUGUUGGAGCAGAACAGUACAUGCAGCACAAGGAGCUAGGGCUGCCCCCUGAUAGUCGACCAAACAAUAGUCGACCAGGAAGGUCAGUAAUC